UUGCACGCUGGCGGCAUGCCUUACACAUGCAAGUCGAACGGUAACAGGUCUUCGGAUGCUGACGAGUGGCGAACGGGUGAGUAAUACAUCGGAACGUGCCCAGACGUGGGGGAUAACGAGGCGAAAGCUUUGCUAAUACCGCAUACGAUCUAAGGAUGAAAGCAGGGGACCGCAAGGCCUUGUGCGUUUGGAGCGGCCGAUGGCAGAUUAGGUAGUUGGUGGGAUAAAAGCUUACCAAGCCGACGAUCUGUAGCUGGUCUGAGAGGACGACCAGCCACACUGGGACUGAGACACGGCCCAGACUCCUACGGGAGGCAGCAGUGGGGAAUUUUGGACAAUGGGCGAAAGCCUGAUCCAGCAAUGCCGCGUGCAGGAUGAAGGCCUUCGGGUUGUAAACUGCUUUUGUACGGAACGAAAAGGCUCUGGCUAAUACCUGGGGCACAUGACGGUACCGUAAGAAUAAGCACCGGCUAACUACGUG
This 481-nucleotide ribosomal RNA is filed under the name uncultured bacterium. RNAcentral describes it as "partial 16S ribosomal RNA". It matches the Rfam family "Bacterial small subunit ribosomal RNA", at positions 30 to 507 of the family's 1533-position model. The record is from RNAcentral.